CAGUCGCCGCGGGAAUACAGAGGGUGCGAGCGUUAAUCGGAUUUACUGGGCGUAAAGCGUGCGUAGGCGGCUUUUUAAGUCGGAUGUGAAAUCCCUGAGCUUAACUUAGGAAUUGCAUUCGAUACUGGGAAGCUAGAGUAUGGGAGAGGAUGGUAGAAUUCCAGGUGUAGCGGUGAAAUGCGUAGAGAUCUGGAGGAAUACCGGUGGCGAAGGCGGCCCCCUGGACAAAGACUGACGCUCAGGUGCGAAAGCGUGGGGAGCAAACAGGAUUAGAUACCCCAGUAGUCCCUGUCUCUUAUAC
This 301-nucleotide ribosomal RNA is filed under the name uncultured bacterium. RNAcentral's name for it is "partial 16S ribosomal RNA". It matches the Rfam family "Bacterial small subunit ribosomal RNA", at positions 509 to 807 of the family's 1533-position model. The record is from RNAcentral.